This 511-nucleotide long non-coding RNA is filed under the name Vulpes vulpes (red fox). Its description in RNAcentral is "lncRNA (ENSVVUG00000015426.1)". Lineage: Eukaryota; Metazoa; Chordata; Mammalia; Carnivora; Canidae. The record is from RNAcentral.
CUGGAAUCCUGGAACUCCACACAAAGGCACCUGUUGUCCUGACAACCCCUGAGGCGUAGGGGAGAAGCAGUGGGGAGGCCCUUCCAUUUUUCUAUCAUGUGUCUGUCAGGAGGGGAACAAGAUUACGAAAUUGUGAGCAAAUACACAUCAUCAUGCUGCUCUGCCCAGCUCCUCCCUUGCCUUUCCGGUACUUGUGGUGCAGUCUUCUUUUUGGCCCCUCUGGACAAUCCUUCAACAUUCAGUAAUAGAUUUCCAAGUAGUGCAUUUAUAUUCCUAACCAGCAUCUCAGCUUGACUGGGAAAUGAAGAAAUCAGACAGGCACGAGAAACCCCAUGGAAGCACAUGGAAAUUGGAAAUGGGAUGAAUAAGACAUGGUUGCUGACUCAGUCUUACUGCGUGAUCAUGGACUAAUCACUUCACUGAGACUUGGCUUAUCUCAUUGGUAAAGUGAAAACUAUAGUUCUUCCUGAUAGGAAUGUUGUCAGGACCAAAUGAGAUAAUAGUUGAAAAA